CAGUGUUUCCAAGGAGGAGAGGGAGGAAUAACCAACAUUUCCGGCCAUCGGCUGCUCGCGCAGCCCCCGGGAGCUCCUCAGGAAGGUUUUUAAAGGAAUAUUUAUGGAUGAUCCCGGUGAAUCAGGCCCUAAAAGGAAAACUGAGCACAGGAGGAGGGAUGGUUUGGUGGAAGAGCAUCCUGGGGUUUCCAUUUUCAGAGCCUUUUCCUGAGACAUGAGUCACUUAAAAGCCUCCUGUAGACUCAUUGAUAACAGAAACUCCCUCGAGGUUUGCAUGAGCUCCAGGAGCAACCCAGUGGGGCAGCUGGAGCCUCCUGGCAUGGGGGAAGCCCUGCUGGCUGUGCCCUGCCCAGGACAAGGGACAUCAUUUGGGGUCAGCUCUGGUAAGUCACAAAACCCCCAGGGCUGGGACCCCAACUCCAGUUCAAGCCAUGGGGAUGCCCGUCAACAAUGAUGUGUUAAAUCAGCAGAAAAACUGCUUUCCUCUCUCUUUGGAUUCCUUGUCCUGCUUGCAGGAAUCAGGGACCCUUCCCUCCACUGGGGAGCCACAAAGCUCCCGUCUCGGCCAACCUUUUGUCUUGGUACAGCUCUGGCCUUUGUGCUCUGUAUUAAUUUAAGAUGCUGUGAAGUGAGAGCUGUGGGGGUGGGAGAUGCUGUCUAAAAGUUGUUCAGAGCCUUUGCUGGAUAAAUCCCCGUGGAAUUUCAUUUAAACGAGCUGACACCAGUAUGAAUCAUGCCAGCAUUACCCGCUCUCCAGCACUUCCUACCAACUGCCUGCAGGGCUCUUGCUUUUUCAAGUGAAGACUAAAAGCAUCUAAAACAGUUUAAGACCCAAAAGUCUUAAAAUAAUAGGUUGGGUUUUUUUUUUUUUCACUGAGGAAGAAACAACAUCUGCUAUAAAAAUCUGCUGGCCAGGGGCAGUGGGAGCGGAUACCACUUAUCAGGGGUUGGAAAGUGCCUCAGCCCGGGCCCCAGGAUCCCAAAGUGGUGUCUCAUCUGUCUGCAAGCUGGACAGAUUAGAUGUACACAGAGAGGAUGGAGAAGUAGGGAUAAAAGAAAGGACACGGGGAAUUCAGUGGAGGGAGGAAGGAAAUAAAAGCAAGACUUCCAGGAAAGGGAAGGAGACAACACUGUGUUUAUAAAUACAUACCUGGGCUUAAGUGAAGGCUCCUAAAAGCUGCUGGGACACAGUCAGGCUGCUUUGGAAUAAAAUCCACGAGGUAGAGUGUCUGUUCCCAGGAUUUAACUGAAGAGUGACAUCUCUUCAGAGGCAGGAAAGUGGUCAGGAGUAAGCAUGAAACAUGUAAGAUUGCAGAAUUCAAAAGGAUAAACAUUAUUUGAUACCUUAUUUAUAGGGCACCACAGGGGAAAGGUAAAGGUUUCAGAAAAGAAAGAAGCACUUUAAUUUUAUCUGGAGAUUUUCCAACAAUAAAAUCUAAUCCAUCAUUCUCCGUGUGUGACUGCUCUUAAUGAAAAUUUAGAGGCUGUGAGUGAAAUUUAGAAUUCCCAGGGGAUACUAUUAGGAAGAUGUCUAGCAGCUAUGCAAAACCUGUUAGAUCAGAGCCCUGCCAAGGGCCGGGAAGAGUGGAGUGUGAAAGGACAGCUUUUAAUUCCAUGUGCCGAGGCUCUGCAGGGCCCAGCCUUCCUCUCCUGGGUGGCAGCAGCACUCCUGGGAUGGCUCCCACCAGGAUCAGCUCACUGGGGGAUUUCAAAGAGACAAGACUUGGCCCAUUUACAUUUAUUUUUCCCCCAAAGAUCCUUCAUGGUGAUGAGAGUGGUUGAUCUCCUCUCCUCUCCCCUCCUCUCCAGGUUUCUUGCCCAAAUUUAGGGAUCACAGUUAGGAGCUUUCCAAAAGGCAGAGAGUGAACCUAUUUAAUCAGAGAAUCAUGGAAUGGGUUGGGUUGGAAAGGACUUUAAAGAUCAUCCCGUUCCAUGGGCAGGGACACCUUCCACCAGACCAGGUUCAAACUUUGGACACCUCAGCCCAUCUUGGAGCUGCACAGAGCCACAAAGUGCCUCCCAGCCUGACCCCAAGAUGAGCCCCAGCCUCGUGCAACAUCAAAAAACCAAGACCCCGUGGAAUGUGUGACCUUUAAUGGCAGAUGAUUUCCAAUCAUAAGACUCCGUUGGAUCUGAGUAAUUAAGGACAAGACAGGCCUGAAAGUGCUCUGCCUGCAGACAGGAGGAGCCUACAGAGUUCCCUGUUCCCAAAAGCGGGGCUGUGAGAUCUGAGAGCACGGGCAGCACGGCCGGGUUGUUCCUGCCUCGGCUCCGGUGGGAACAUCCUUGGUCCAAGGCUGGAAGGUGGGUGAGGAAAGGGUCAAAACACAUCCCCCCCAACUGCAGGAGGAGAAAAAUGUUGGCAGAGCAAACCUUGCCACAGGAAUAAAAGGUUGUCCUGCCUGUUCAUGUUACUCCACGCGGGGUGAGUAAAACUGUCCGUCGGAGCGAAGCGUCUGAUACACAAAGGGAAUAAAAACUCAUUAAAGGGCUGAAAGAAAACCCUGUUAAAAUACCAAAUAUACAAUGGAGGAGACUUGAACACCCUCAUGCUUGAGGAGUGUCAGGCUUUGAAGGAAUCUGAUUUUUUUUUUUCCCCUGAAAGCAGCGGAAAUGCGCUCUGUGGGAAGCCAGGUGGGAUGAGGGGCAGGUAGAGUGUCAAAGAGCACUGAUAAUACUUCAGGGCCAUGCUCAGAGCCUGAAAUACGGAGGGGAUUUAUUCAGCUUUCUGUGGGGAGGGGAGUGACAGCAGAUUUUUGAAGGAAUUCCAAUGUGGUUCAUACUCGUCUGGUUCUUAAAUCCCUUGGCCGCUGCUGUGCCGGGGUAGGAGCAUCUCCACUGCUCCCCACAGCCCACAGAGAAUCAGCACUGGUGGCUCCUCGGGGUGCUCCUGCCCUGGCCUUGCUCUUGUCCCCCUGAAAAACCAAAAAAAAAGAGCUUUUUAGAGGGCCUGAACUACCCUGAGAACCAUCUUUCUCACGGCAUCCCUGAUUCUACUUUAUGUGGUCUUGGGGAAGGGAAGAAAUUACAAAGGAAAAGAGUAA
Neopelma chrysocephalum (saffron-crested tyrant-manakin) is the source of this 3044-nucleotide long non-coding RNA. RefSeq lists it as uncharacterized. Lineage: Eukaryota; Metazoa; Chordata; Aves; Passeriformes; Pipridae. The transcript has 5 exons. The record is from RefSeq and is a predicted model, not a curated record.